RNAcentral lists this ribosomal RNA (482 nucleotides) under uncultured bacterium. RNAcentral's name for it is "partial 16S ribosomal RNA". It matches the Rfam family "Bacterial small subunit ribosomal RNA", at positions 28 to 507 of the family's 1533-position model. The record is from RNAcentral.
GACGAACGCUGGCGGCGUGCUUAACACAUGCAAGUCGAACGAUGAAGAAGAGAAACGCGAACUUCGGUUCAAAUUUCACUUCGGAUUAGUGGCAGACGGGUGAGUAACGCGUGAGCAACCUACCUCUUACAAAGGGAUAGCCUCGGGAAACCGUGAUUAAUACCAUAUGACACAUUCAUAAGGCAUCUUAAGACUGUUAAAGCUACGGCGGUAAGAGAUGGGCUCGCGUCCCAUUAGCUAGUUGGUGAGGUAACGGCCCACCAAGGCGACGAUGGGUAACCGGCCUGAGAGGGUGAACGGUCACAUUGGAACUGAGACACGGUCCAAACUCCUACGGGAGGCAGCAGUGGGGAAUAUUGCACAAUGGAGGGAACUCUGAUGCAGCGACGCCGCGUGGGCGAUGAAGGAAUUCGUUUCGUAAAGCUCUGUUCUAUGGGAAGAAAAGGACUGUACCAUAGGAGAAAGCCCCGGCUAAAUACGUG